GAAUGAAACUCUCUGUAUCAGAUCACUCGUGAGACAGUGAGAGCCAAAGCUGACGUAUAUUAAAUAAAGUCAAUAACUACUUCUCAUCAAAACCUUGUGAACUAACAUCUAAUCUGGUCUGAGUUUAUUGCCUAAGUUUAUGGCCUACAACUUCAUUUCUUAGAAACCAACUCCUGGAAGUCCUGCCUCUAUGAUACCGCUUUUUAUUCUGCUUAAUAAACA
Molecule: long non-coding RNA, 222 nt
Filed under: Homo sapiens (human)
Lineage: Eukaryota; Metazoa; Chordata; Mammalia; Primates; Hominidae
Description: non-protein coding lnc-ALG10B-2:1
Source: RNAcentral